RNAcentral lists this non-coding RNA (951 nucleotides) under Pimelabditus moli. RNAcentral describes it as "partial 12S ribosomal RNA". It matches the Rfam family "Bacterial small subunit ribosomal RNA". Lineage: Eukaryota; Metazoa; Chordata; Actinopteri; Siluriformes; Pimelodidae. The record is from RNAcentral.
ACAAGGCUUGGUCCUGACUUUACUAUCAGCUCUAGCUCGAUUUAUACAUGCAAGUAUCUGCGCCCCUGUGAGAAUGCCCUCAAUCCCCCGCCCGGGGACAAGGAGCGGGCAUCAGGCACCUAAACAGAGCCCAAGACGCCUUGCUUAGCCACACCCCCAAGGGAACUCAGCAGUAAUAAACAUUAAGCCAUAAGUGAAAACUUGACUUAGUCAGAGCUAAGAGGGCCGGUAAAAUUCGUGCCAGCCACCGCGGUUAUACGAAAGGCCCCAGUUGAUAGCCGCGGCGUAAAGGGUGGUUAAGGUAAUUUAAUAAAUAAAGCUGAACAGUCUCUAGGCCGUUGUACGCAUGACGAGAGCUAGAAGCCCGAAUACGAAAGUUGCUUUAAAAUAUAAACACCUGACUCCACGAAAGCUAAGAAACAAACUGGGAUUAGAUACCCCACUAUGCUUAGCCCUAAACCAAGAUGUGCUCUUACACAUCCGCCCGGGUACUACGAGCACAGCUUAAAACCCAAAGGACUUGGCGGUGCAUCAGACCCACCUAGAGGAGCCUGUUCUAGAACCGAUAAUCCCCGUUAAACCUCACCACUUCUUGUUUACCCCGCUUAUAUACCGCCGUCGUCAGCUUACCCCGUAAGGGCUUAACAGUAAGCAAAAUUGGUGUACCCAAAAACGUCAGGUCGAGGUGUAGCGAAUGAAGUGGGAAGAAAUGGGCUACAUUUUCUAUAUACAGAAUAUUUACGGAUGGCACCCUGAAAACAUGCCUGAAGGUGGAUUUAGUAGUAAAAAGCAAAUAGCGUGUCCUUUUGAAUUAGGCUCUGAAGCGCGCACACACCGCCCGUCACCCUCCCCAAUUAAACUCUUAUUAACAAUUACUAAUAAAUUAUUUUUAUCACGGGGAGGCAAGUCGUAACAUGGUAAGUGUACCGGAAGGUGCACUUGGAGUAAAUU